UGACCUCGGAUCAGGUAGGAAUACCCGCUGAACUUAAGCAUAUCAAUAAGCGGAGGAAAAGAAACCAACAGGGAUUGCCCCAGUAACGGCGAGUGAAGCGGCAACAGCUCAAAUUUGAAAUCUGGCCCCCAGGGCCCGAGUUGUAAUUUGCAGAGGAUGCUUUUGGCGCGGCGCCUUCCGAGUGCCCUGGAACGGGACGCCAUAGAGGGUGAGAGCCCCGUCUGGUCGGACGCCAAGCCAGUGUAAAGCUCCUUCGACGAGUCGAGUAGUUUGGGAAUGCUGCUCUAAAUGGGAGGUAUAUGUCUUCUAAAGCUAAAUACCGGCCAGAGACCGAUAGCGCACAAGUAGAGUGAUCGAAAGAUGAAAAGCACUUUGAAAAGAGGGUUAAACAGUACGUGAAAUUGUUGAAAGGGAAGCGCUCGUGACCAGACUUGGGCCCGGUGAAUCAUCCAGCGUUCUCGCCGGUGCACUUCGCCGGGCUCAGGCCAGCAUCAGUUCGCCGCGGGGGAUAAAGGCGUCGGGAACGUGGCUCCCCCGGGAGUGUUAUAGCCCGUCGCGCAAUGCCCUGGGGCGGACUGAGG
This 581-nucleotide ribosomal RNA is filed under the name Tolypocladium capitatum. Its description in RNAcentral is "eukaryotic LSU rRNA". It matches the Rfam family "Eukaryotic large subunit ribosomal RNA", at positions 1 to 591 of the family's 3401-position model. Lineage: Eukaryota; Fungi; Ascomycota; Sordariomycetes; Hypocreales; Ophiocordycipitaceae. The record is from RNAcentral.